This 867-nucleotide ribosomal RNA is filed under the name uncultured bacterium. Its description in RNAcentral is "bacterial SSU rRNA". It matches the Rfam family "Bacterial small subunit ribosomal RNA", at positions 21 to 907 of the family's 1533-position model. The record is from RNAcentral.
GGCUCAGGACGAACGCUGGCGGCGUGCUUAACACAUGCAAGUCAAGGACCGUAGCAAUACGGGACUGGCGCACGGGUGCGGAACACGUAGGCAAUCUACCCUCAGGGGGAAAACAACCCGUUGAAAGACGGGCUAAAUUUCCGUAACAUCACAUGGUGGCAUCACCGCGUGAUCAAACUUUCCAGAGGAUGAGCCUGCGUCUGAUUAGUUAGUUGGCGGGGUAACGGCCCACCAAGACUACGAUCAGUAGCUGGUCUGAGAGGAUGAUCAGCCACAUUGGGACUGAGAUACGGCCCAGACUCCUACGGGAGGCAGCAGUGAGGAAUAUUGCUCAAUGGGGGAAACCCUGAAGCAGCAACGCCGCGUGAGGGAUGAAGGGGCUUUGCCUCGUAAACCUCUGUAGUCGGGGACAAAUGUAGGGUUACUACCCUAUUGAUGGUACCCGAAAAGUAAGGAUCGGCUAACUACGUGCCAGCAGCCGCGGUAAUACGUAGGAUCCGAGCGUUGUCCGGAUUUACUGGGUGUAAAGGGUGCGCAGGCGGAGUGGUAAGUCAGAGGUGAAAUCUCGUCGCUCAACGACGAAACUGCCUUUGAUACUAUCAUUCUUGAGUUCGGUAGAGAUCUGUGGAAUUCCGAGUGUAGCAGUGAAAUGUGUAGAUAUUCGGAAGAACACCAGUGGCGAAGGCAGCAGAUUGGGCCGAUACUGACGCUCAGGCACGAAAGCAUGGGGAUCAAACAGGAUUAGAUACCCUGGUAGUCCAUGCCCUAAACGAUGUACACUUGAUAUCUGCCCUCAGGGUAGGUGUCGGAGCUAACGCGUUAAGUGUACCACCUGGGGAGUACGCUCGCAAGGGUGAAACUUAAAGG